This 1793-nucleotide long non-coding RNA is filed under the name Zea mays. RNAcentral describes it as "long non-coding RNA (ZMAY_LNC000865)". Lineage: Eukaryota; Viridiplantae; Streptophyta; Magnoliopsida; Poales; Poaceae. The record is from RNAcentral.
UCCUCUUGGACGUCACCCCUCCCCCCUCUCACAUCUUCUUUCUCCUCAAACCUUUGCAGCCCUCACCACCCAAAACCCUAGCCGCCCCCCAUUUCUCUUUCCCCCCUCCAAGGUGCAGCCCUCCCGCGUGUUCUCCGUCGUGUGGCUGCGAUCUCAAUUGGAGUUUGGAGGGAGGAAGAAGGAAGGAGGAAGGGAAGAACCCAAGGUGAAUUCAUGUUUAAAUUUUGUUGUUUUUGUGCUGCAAUCAAUUGGAUUAUGCGUUUAUCUUUGCGAAUCGGUAGAGGUGCUGUCCAGGAAUUUUGUGAGUGGGUGGACAGCAGUAGUUCUAGGGAUUUCUGGGAAUUUUCGUGGGUUAAUUAGUAUGAAUCAGUGGGAUAAUCAUGUAGAGCUUUGUCAUACCUUUCCAACAAGUACUUAUGCGCUCGAUUCGGAGUUAUAAUUUAGAAGAUAUCAUUGUUUGAAUCCAGAUAUGUUGCUGUCCAAUAAAACAGAUUUUUCAGGUGGGUGAACAGCAGUAGUAUUAGCAGUUUCUGGGAAUUUUUAGUGAGUAAUUAGUGAUAACCAGUAUGAUAAUCAUGUAGGACUUUGUCUUAUCUUUCCAAUGAGUACUUAUGCGCUUAAUUUGGAAUUAUAUUUUAAAAGAUAUUGCUGUUUGAAUCCGGGUAUGUCGCUGUCCAAAAGAGAAAAAAACAGAUUACAGGGUUUAUCUUGUGGACUGUUUUGGGAUAAUUAGAUGUUAGAAUUUUAUUAUAAAUUGUAUACAAAACUUGUGGGGAAUUUGAUGUAGAUGCCUCUGGAGUUUUUGGUUGUCACCACUGCUAUCAUAAUUUUAAAGUUAUGAAAUUAUUAAGCAGCGCCGCUGCAGUUUGGUGGGUGCGGGGAGAAUUGUUACCCGUGGCGGGGUUUGAGAUUGUGCGUAGGUGCGGCGUCGUUUAUGAGGCUUAUUAUGUGAAAUUGGUGCACUAAGUUGUGUGUCAAAAACAGGUGGUGGACUUCCGGAUCGUAAUUAGGGAUUUGCCCAAACUUCCGGUGAAGACAAGUAAAACAGUGAUGGUUAUUUUGUCUGUCGAAUGAAGAGUCUUAUACUUGAUUAUGUUUGUGCUAUUUGUGUUCGUAUUCAUAUUUCUAAUUGAGUACCAUCGUUGGAAGAUAUUCAUGUUUUAUUGAUUACAUAUGUUGAGUUUGUGGUUUGAUCAUGUUACCCAUGUGGUUUAUUUUGUGGAAUGGGUGGAAGUAUAUGUCUACCACAUUUUGUUUGGGAAGAACUCAUGUUGUUGACUUGCAUAAUGCAUUCAUCAUCCAUUGCAUUGAAGUUUCGUCGCGAUCUUAUGGUCCGACCGUACCGGUACAAUGAGCAUCAUAUGUUGCCCGAGAAGGGGUAUGAUGCAGCUUCAUAUCCUUAGAGAUAUGAAGGCAGAAGUCAUUACUGCAUCUGUAGCCAUGUGCAUUCAUUGGAGAGAUGUGGAAUGUGUUAUGUGGAUGUGGAUAGUGUGGAUCUUUACAUUGUGAUUCAUCUUGGCAUUAAGUAAUCAGUUACUUGCUUACUUGCUGCAAAUUAAUAUUCAAGAAGGAAGUUUUGAACUACGUGGUUGUUUAAGCACGGUUGGUUUACAUUGUCCAAUUGUUGUUUGCUCUGUUUACUUGCUGAGAUGUGUCAUCUCACUCUUGCAUUGUCUGAUGCAGACACCUGAUUUCUGCUUUGGGAAAGAAGGGAUGUAGCAGCACAGCCACUACACCUUUAAUAAAGGAACCGCUGCUUAAUAAUGUUGUUAUUCAAGGAGGGUCAAGUCUAG